UAUUCCUUAAGUAGGCAAAGUU
Molecule: microRNA, 22 nt
Filed under: Columba livia (rock pigeon)
Lineage: Eukaryota; Metazoa; Chordata; Aves; Columbiformes; Columbidae
Description: cli-miR-9619-5p
Source: miRBase by way of RNAcentral